RNAcentral lists this long non-coding RNA (486 nucleotides) under Sitophilus oryzae (rice weevil). RNAcentral's name for it is "uncharacterized LOC115886835, transcript variant X2". The record is from RNAcentral. Lineage: Eukaryota; Metazoa; Arthropoda; Insecta; Coleoptera; Curculionidae.
AUGUUAUUUACCAGUUGCCUAAUUACGAAAAGUUUCAUAUGACAUUAACCUCAAAAAUGAUCUUUGAAAACAAACAACAACAAAUAACUCAAAGAAAUAACUACAUACUACAUAAUAAUAACUGAUAAUAAUGACUUUUAAUGGUAUAAAGGCUGAUGAAGUUUUAGACAACCAAUACAAGAUUCAGAACUCGGCAUCGCGAUAAACAAGUAAAAUUGUACAUUCAGGAACUCGUUUAAAUAUUAUAGGUUGAUUGAAGAAUAAUCUACAAUUGAUUAGAGCCUAUGAUGAUGCGAAGAUAAUUAAUAUCACCUAACUUUAAGAAACCAGCCUAAAGAAGUUUACAUGCAUCUCAUCUAACCAUUAUAGGUACAUUUUAUCUUCUAGAUCAGUAGUGAUUUUUCAUAAUUUGAAUGAACUCACAGAUAGCAAUGGGGCACUGCACCGAAGCAGUAUUACAAAAUGUGAAAUAAAACUGUAGUACAA